This 294-nucleotide unclassified non-coding RNA is filed under the name fungal sp. RNAcentral's name for it is "partial internal transcribed spacer region". The stretch from base 1 to 46 matches the Rfam family "Eukaryotic small subunit ribosomal RNA", at positions 1786 to 1831 of the family's 1831-position model. Lineage: Eukaryota; Fungi. The record is from RNAcentral.
AAGUCGUAACAAGGUUUCCGUAGGUGAACCUGCGGAAGGAUCAUUACCAAGAAUUUUUUUGCUGGGGAUAGCACGUCUUGAAAUAUAGACUGCUGAACCGCAAGAUAUUCCCACCCUAUGUUUACUACAAGUGUUGCCUUUGGCGAUUCCGUUCUGUUGGAAACAACGACCGCUGGCAAGAGAUUGCGAGUGAGUGAUCGCCAAAGUUUUUCAUCAAACUCUUUUUAUAUAAAUGCAGUCUGAGAAACAAAACAAAAUAAAACAAAACUUUCAACAACGGAUCUCUUGGUUCUG